Molecule: ribosomal RNA, 431 nt
Filed under: uncultured bacterium
Lineage: Bacteria
Description: partial 16S ribosomal RNA
Rfam family: Bacterial small subunit ribosomal RNA
Source: RNAcentral
AGCGAACGCUGGCGGCAGGCUUAACACAUGCAAGUCGAGCGCCCCGCAAGGGGAGCGGCAGACGGGAGAGUAACACGUGGGAACAUACCUUUUGGUUCGGAACAACUGAGGGAAACUUCAGCUAAUGCCGGAUAAGCCCUUACGGGGAAAGAUUUAUCGCCGAAAGAUUGGCCCGCGUCUGAUUAGCUAGUUGGUGAGGUAACGGCUCACCAAGGCGACGAUCAGUAGCUGGUCUGAGAGGAUGAUCAGCCUCACUGGGACUGAGACACGGCCCAGACUCCUACGGGAGGCAGCAGUGGGGAAUAUUGGACAAUGGGGGCAGCCCUGAUCCAGCCAUGCCGCGUGAGUGAUGAAGGCCUUAGGGUUGUAAAGCUCUUUUGCCCGGGAAGAUAAUGACGGUACCGGGAGAAUAAGCCCCGGCUAACUUCGUG